Molecule: small nucleolar RNA, 131 nt
Organism: Cavia aperea (Brazilian guinea pig)
Lineage: Eukaryota; Metazoa; Chordata; Mammalia; Rodentia; Caviidae
Source: Ensembl
AGCCUCAUUUUAGAUUAGAAUGGGCACUGUUGAUUGGUGUCCAAAACUGGUUAAUGUGGCUGAAAUUGUCACAGGUCGUGCUUCCAUCACAGUAAAUGUUUACAGUGGUGACAAUGAGACCUGUAACAUCU